GCUCAGUCAGCAGGGUGGGCGUGGCCUUCUCCCUGCCUGCAUCUGAAAUGCAGUUUAAAGGUCAGGAAGACUGAUCUUUCGCUUCUGAAUCCUCUGAGAGUUCCUCAGGCCCUCCUGUGUGAGGCCCAGCUGCUUCCUGCCUGGUCUUCCUGGAUCCACAGAGCCCAUCCCCUCCCCACCGCAGUGGGGCUGCAUGGCCUCACCUUCUCUGCCUCCUCACGGCUCAUGGCGAGGGCCAGCUGCAGCUGCAGUUCCUCUUCCCCUGACGUCUGAGGCCGGGCCUGCUCCAGGUCGGAGGUAUAGCGGGGUGACGAAGAGGAGGCUGCAAUGACCAUCAUGUCUCUGUGACCACACGAUUACCCAUCGGCUCCCACACCCCUCUGCCUGCCAGGAAGCUGAGGCUCAAGAGAACUGAGAGGAGGGGAACAACGGCCGUUGAGGCCCCCGUGGGCCAAGCAGUGUGCCAGGCACUCUAUCAAACAAUGGAGGUAGGUGAGCUUAUCCCCACUGUACAGAUGAGGAAACUGAGGUUCAGAGAACUGGUUGCCCAGGUCACACAGCUUGGAGGAAGCAGAAUAUAGAAUGCUAUCUGACUCCAAACCCAUGCUUCCACUAUCGCGCCAUCCUAUCAGGCAGCUAACGAAUGAUAAUGAAUCUAUAACAACGUUAUUAUCUGAGCUA
RNAcentral lists this long non-coding RNA (681 nucleotides) under Homo sapiens (human). RNAcentral's name for it is "HSALNT0390599". The record is from RNAcentral. Lineage: Eukaryota; Metazoa; Chordata; Mammalia; Primates; Hominidae.